Molecule: ribosomal RNA, 346 nt
Organism: Gossypium arboreum
Lineage: Eukaryota; Viridiplantae; Streptophyta; Magnoliopsida; Malvales; Malvaceae
Rfam family: Eukaryotic large subunit ribosomal RNA
Source: Rfam
UCGGGGCGUGGACCGACGAGGGUCGUGGCGGCGGCCCAAGCCCGGGCUUUUGAUACGCCUGUGGAGAUGUCGUCGCCUCGAUCGUGGUAUCCAGCAUGCGCCGUCUCGGCGUGCUUCAGCACCUGCAUGCUUCGGGCGUCGGCCUGCGGGCUCCCCAUUCGCCCCGUCUUGAAACACGGACCAAGGAGCCUGACAUGUGUGCGAGUCAACGGGCUAGAAAACCCGUAAGACGUAAGGAAGCUGAUUGGCGGGAUCCCUCAUGGGUGCACCGUCGACCGACCUUGAUCUUUUGAGAAGGGUUCGAGGGAGAGCAUGCCUGUCGGGACCCGAAAGAUGGUGAACUAUG